RNAcentral lists this long non-coding RNA (1465 nucleotides) under Gossypium barbadense (sea-island cotton). RNAcentral's name for it is "long non-coding RNA (GBAR_LNC011933)". The record is from RNAcentral. Lineage: Eukaryota; Viridiplantae; Streptophyta; Magnoliopsida; Malvales; Malvaceae.
AUCAAUCAUACAUAUUAAUAAAUAUGUAUAUCAUCGGCUAUUUUAUUAGCUAAUCACUAGCAAGUAUUUACACAUCAUUCAUUGUUCAUAUUAUACCAAAAGUAGCUAAGUUUCUAUACAUGCCAUACCCAAAACAAAACGUCUAGUUAUACCGAGUUAUUUCUUUGAUAGUGUGAUCGGCUUCCGACGUUUCCUUCAAUCCCCGAGUGACUAGAUAAGUACUAUAAGAAGAAGAAAAUAAAGAGAUUAAGCACUAGGCUUAGUAAGCUUACAAGCAAAUAAAUCACAACAUUCAACAUAAUGGCUAAUUAUGCAUAAUAUCAUCUAACAUCAUAAAUUUCUUUACUUCUCAAUUUCUAUCUUCUUCUUUAUUCCCUUACCUCCUUUCUUACCUGACCUUUCCUUUUUCAUAAGUAUAAUCUACUUUUCCUUUGCUGUUAAUUCACUGUAAUUUAACUCGUAUCCUGACCUGUUGAACCACUCGGAAUACUAAGGAUACUAGGGUCGUUCCUGUUUAUCAAUAUCCUGCCAAUGCCAUGUCUUUGACAUGGACUUAUAUGAAUUAUUCCUGUCUCCAAUGCCAUAUAUAAUAUGGACUUACAUGGCUCAAUCUUGUCUCCAAAGCCAUAUUUCUAAUAUGGACUUACAUGGCUCAUUUCUGUUCUGUCCUGUCAACCCUAAUAUCCUAACAUUCCUAGGGUUCAACCGGGGCUUUCUAACACUUUUCCUCUGUCACUCCACCUUAAAUUCGACUUUACAUAUUUUCAUAACGUAAGUAUAUAAAUGCUGGAAAUUGACAAUAAUAAUGUAAAAUAAAAGAAUAUUGCAUUUAUUUACUGUAACUUACCUUGAUACAAAAUGUGACUAAACUUUACAAUUUAGUCCUUUACUUUUUCUUUUCCCCGAUCUACUCCCGAAUUUCGUUCUUCUUGAUCUAUAAUAGCAAAUUUAACUUAUUUAAUAUUCACAUUUAUUAAAACAGUCCUUGACCCAAACUUUUGUAAAAAUUAUAUUUUUACCCCUAAACUUUCACAUAUUUUCACUUUUGCCCCAAGGCUCGUAAAUUAAACUUCAUCCUAUUUUCUUAUGUUUUAUGACAUGCUGAUCAUUUUUCCCUUCAAUGGCAAUAUCAAAAUCACACUUUAACAUAUACUUAUGACUAUUGGUAUUUUUUUCCAAUUUAAGCCCUUUUACUCGUUUUCACUUAAAACCGAGUAGCAUAAGUUGUUUAACAUAAUUUAAAACCUCAUAUUCUAUCAUAAAACACAAAAAUACACAAAUUUCAGCCAUGGGUAUUUUUCCAAAUAUGAACCCUAGGUUGAAUUAUUGCUAGAAUAAGCUUAAUCAAGUUACCGGGACUCUAAAAACGUAAAGAUCAUUAAAAACGGGGCUUGGAAUCACUUACUAUGAAGCUUGAAAGUUGAAGAAACCCCAGCUAUGGAGGAGAGCAAAAAUCAGCAGAAAC